GAUGAAGAACGUAGCGAAAUGCGAUACGUAAUGUGAAUUGCAGAAUUCAGUGAGUCAUCGAAUCUUUGAACGCACAUUGCGCCCUGUGGUAUUCCGCAGGGCAUGCCUGUUCGAGCGUCAUUUCAACCCUCAAGCCCCGCUUGGUGUUGGGCCCCGCCCGCCGUGGCCGGCCCUAAAGACAGUGGCGGCGCCGCCUGGCCCUCAGCGUAGUACAGCUCUCGCUCCAGGGUCCGGCGGCCGCCUGCCAGAACCCCCCCAACUCUGUGGUUGACCUCGGAUCAGGUAGGGAUACCCGCUGAACUUAAGCAUAUCAAUAAGCGGAGGA
RNAcentral lists this unclassified non-coding RNA (325 nucleotides) under soil metagenome. RNAcentral's name for it is "partial contains 5.8S ribosomal RNA, internal transcribed spacer 2, and large subunit ribosomal RNA". The stretch from base 1 to 120 matches the Rfam family "5.8S ribosomal RNA", at positions 35 to 154 of the family's 154-position model. The record is from RNAcentral.